RNAcentral lists this ribosomal RNA (200 nucleotides) under uncultured bacterium. Its description in RNAcentral is "partial 16S ribosomal RNA". It matches the Rfam family "Bacterial small subunit ribosomal RNA", at positions 28 to 217 of the family's 1533-position model. The record is from RNAcentral.
GAUGAACGCUAGCGGCAGGCUUAAUACAUGCAAGUCGUGGGGCAGCAUGACUGUAGCAAUACAGUUGAUGGCGACCGGCAAACGGGUGCGGAACACGUACACAACCUUCCUUCGAGUGGGGAAUAGCCCGGGGAAACCCGGAUUAAUACCCCCCGGUAAACAUAAUGAAGUGGCAUCACUUUAUUAUUAUAGCUCCGGCG